RNAcentral lists this ribosomal RNA (448 nucleotides) under uncultured bacterium. Its description in RNAcentral is "bacterial SSU rRNA". It matches the Rfam family "Bacterial small subunit ribosomal RNA", at positions 330 to 793 of the family's 1533-position model. The record is from RNAcentral.
GCCAGACUCCUACGGGAGGCAGCAGUGGGGAAUAUUGGGCAAUGGGCACAAGCCUGACCCAGCAACGCCGCGUGAAGGAAGAAGGCUUUCGGGUUGUAAACUUCUUUUAAGAGGGAAGAGUAGGAGACGGUACCUCUUGAAUAAGCCACGGCUAACUACGUGCCAGCAGCCGCGGUAAUACGUAGGUGGCAAGCGUUGUCCGGAUUUACUGGGUGUAAAGGGCGUGUAGCCGGGUUGACAAGUCAGAUGUGAAAUCCUGCGGCUUAACCGCAGAACUGCAUUUGAAACUGUUGAUCUUGAGUACUGGAGAGGCAGACGGAAUUCCUAGUGUAGCGGUGAAAUGCGUAGAUAUUAGGAGGAACGCCAGUGGCGAAGGCGGUCUGCCGGACAGCAACUGACGGUGAGGCGCGAAAGCGUGGGGAGCAAACAGGAUUAGAUACCCCUGUAU